AAUAUUGGACAAUGGGCGAAAGCCUGAUCCAGCCAUGCCGCGUGUGUGAAGAAGGUCUUCGGAUUGUAAAGCACUUUAAGUUGGGAGGAAGGGUUGUAGAUUAAUACUCUGCAAUUUUGACGUUACCAACAGAAUAAGCACCGGCUAACUUCGUGCCAGCAGCCGCGGUAAUACGAAGGGUGCAAGCGUUAAUCGGAAUUACUGGGCGUAAAGCGGGCGUGGUUGUUUUGCAAAUUGGGAAUUGAGGGCCCGGGCCUCAACCUGGAACUGCCUUCAAAACUUGGAAAGUUGAGUAAUGGAGGGGGGUGUUGGAAUUUCUUGGGAGGCGUUGAAAGCCGUAGAAUAAGGAGGAACAAUAGUUGGGGAGGCCACCCCCCUGGCCAAAUCCUACCACGGGGGGCCAAAGCGGUGGGAGCAAAC
Molecule: ribosomal RNA, 420 nt
Filed under: uncultured bacterium
Lineage: Bacteria
Description: partial 16S ribosomal RNA
Rfam family: Bacterial small subunit ribosomal RNA
Source: RNAcentral